This is a non-coding RNA of Macaca mulatta (Rhesus monkey), 63 nucleotides long. NCBI's taxonomy places the organism in Eukaryota, Metazoa, Chordata, Mammalia, Primates, Cercopithecidae. The record is from Rfam.
UAGUGUUACAGCUCUUUUAGAAUUUGUCUAGUGGGGCUUUUGGUUUUUGCUGGAAAGUCCCCU